AGAGUUUGAUCCUGGCUCAGAACGAACGCUGGCGGCGUGCCUAACACAUGCAAGUCGAACGAGAAAUCCGGCACUCAGGCAACUGAGUGCUGGAGAGUAAAGUGGCGCACGGGUGAGUAACGCGUGGGUAACCUGCCCUUGAAUCGGGGAUACCCCCGUGAAAACGGGACCAAUACCGGAUAUUGUCCCCGAAACCGUGGUUUCGGGAAUGAAAGGUGACCUAUCCAUGGAAGUUGCCGUUCAGGGAGGGGCCCGCGUACCAUUAGCUUGUUGGUGGGGUAAUGGCCUACCAAGGCAACGAUGGUUAGCUGGUCUGAGAGGAUGAUCAGCCACACUGGAACUGAAACACGGUCCAGACUCUUACGGGAGGCAGCAGUGAGGAAUUUUGCGCAAUGGGGGAAACCCUGACGCAGUAACGCCGCGUGAGUGAAGAAGGCCUUCGGGUCGUAAAGCUCUGUCAAGUGGGAAAAAAUGCUUUUGGUCAAUAGCCGGAAGCCCUGAUGGUACCACUGGAGGAAGCACCGGCUAACUCCGUGCCAGCAGCCGCGGUAAUACGGAGGGUGCAAGCGUUGUUCGGAAUUACUGGGCGUAAAGAGCGUGUAGGCGGUUUGGUAAGUCAGAUGUGAAAGCCCUGGGCUCAACCCAGGAAGUGCAUUUGAAACUGCCAUACUUGAGUAUGGGAGAGGAGAGUGGAAUUCCCAGUGUAGAGGUGAAAUUCGUAGAUAUUGGGAGGAACACCCGUGGCGAAAGCGACUCUCUGGACCAAUACUGACGCUGAGACGCGAAAGCGUGUGUAGCAAACAGGAUUAGAUACCCUGGUAGUCCACGCCGUAAACGAUGAGAACUAGUGUAGUGGGUAUUGACCCCUGCUGUGCCGAAGUUAACGCAUUAAGUUCUCCGCCUGGGGAGUACGGCCGCAAGGCUAAAACUCAAAGGAAUUGACGGGGGCCGCACAAGCGUGAGCAUGUGUUCAUUUCGACGCAACGCGAGACUUACCUGAUUUGACAUCCUCUGACAGCCUCGAACGAGUCUUUCGACUCCUGUCCGACGAUGAAGUGCUGCAUGCUGUCGGUCAGCUCGGUCCUGAAAUGUUGGAUAGUUCCGCACGAGGCAAUCUUGUCUUAUGCCAGAUUAGUAGACUCUAGAGACUGCCUCGAUAACCAGCAGAAGUUGG
RNAcentral lists this ribosomal RNA (1174 nucleotides) under uncultured bacterium. RNAcentral's name for it is "bacterial SSU rRNA". It matches the Rfam family "Bacterial small subunit ribosomal RNA", at positions 8 to 1176 of the family's 1533-position model. The record is from RNAcentral.